GCUCAUGUUAAAUUGAGCAUUAAGCAUGGCAUAACAGAAUUAGUUGUAAAUUGAAGCAACAGAGUUAUGCCACUGUUCAAUAGUUUUAUUUCGAAAUAACAAUAACAAAUCCAUGAAAAAAGGUAAAAUGCAGUAAUCCCAUCAACUAUAAACAGGAAAAAAUGGAACACGACACUGAACUACAACUGAAGGAGACGCCAAC
Molecule: long non-coding RNA, 202 nt
Filed under: Mytilus galloprovincialis (Mediterranean mussel)
Lineage: Eukaryota; Metazoa; Mollusca; Bivalvia; Mytilida; Mytilidae
Source: RNAcentral